Molecule: long non-coding RNA, 259 nt
Organism: Acipenser ruthenus (sterlet)
Lineage: Eukaryota; Metazoa; Chordata; Actinopteri; Acipenseriformes; Acipenseridae
Exons: 3
Source: RefSeq, a predicted model, not a curated record
GCUGGGUCCUAGGUUGUAGAGUUUGUCAAGUUUUCCCCACGUGUUACAAGUUGAUUGGAACCACACAACUGCAGCUGAAAAAUACAAAAUAAGAAGUUCCCAGUCAUACGAGGUCGGAAAACCUUAUCGCCCUGCUGAUUUUUAUAGAUACCGCUCAUAGUCAGCAAUGUGACUAUCAGAAGAGCUUCAUAAGAAAAUGUACGAAAGAGGAGGCCAUUCUUAAGGACCGCAAGAUAAGGCUUCAUUGAGUGAGCUGCAC